Leopardus geoffroyi (Geoffroy's cat) is the source of this 1272-nucleotide long non-coding RNA. RefSeq lists it as uncharacterized. The record is from RefSeq and is a predicted model, not a curated record. Lineage: Eukaryota; Metazoa; Chordata; Mammalia; Carnivora; Felidae. The transcript is spliced from 4 exons.
CAGGUGAGCUAGGGGGACGAGCCCGCAGCUCUAAGAACGGGUAUAAAAACCGUAAAAGUCCUGAGACAAUCCUGAAGUCUGCAGGGUGAGUGAGGGACCAGACCUUAGAUCCUGGGGGCAGGGACUGGGUGUUAGGGAUGGGCCUGAAAGUCCUCAGUUACUACGAGAAACAGGGGCGGAGCCUAAACGUUCAGAGGGCGGGACCUCCCUCUCUCUUCCACGCGGAGAUGGAGCUUGUAAUAGACGGCGCUGGGCCCUAAGGGGUAUUGUUUCCACCUCCUGUCCUGUCCUCCAGUGUGGGCCCUGAUGGGAUCGAAUGUCAGGCAAACCUAAGUGACGAUGGGAUUUGGCGUGAAGCAGACCUGGGUUUGAAUCAGAGAUCUUGGACAGAAUCUCUCUGCUCUCUGGGUUUCAGUUUCCUCCAGAACAGCUGCUUCAGGAUGCCCUUGUGAGCAGAAACCGAAGUGACAUCUGCAGAGCAGAUGGCCUGGCAGUUACCAUUCUGUUUCCAUGAGUUCAGCUGUUUCAGGUUCCACAUGUAAGUGAGAUCACGUGGUGUUUGUCUUUCUGUGUAUGUCACUGAGGAUAUAGUCCUCCAGAUAGGGCAUGUCAGAUUUGAUGAGAGGCAGGGAGUGUGAUGGGUGGGUACCGGGUGGUGGAUGGGAGAGUGCACUUGUUGAAUGUGACUGACUUGGAAGGAGUUGUUCAGUGCUUUGAUCCCUGGCCAGAGUAAGAGCCACCACUAAUGGCAGCACAGAAACAACUUUGACCAGAUGAUCUGUGAGCUGGCAACAAAGUGAGUCCUGACUCUUGAUCCCCCGAGGGGCCCACGUGGCAGGAAGGGAUGGUGCCUGAGUGUGUCAGUGAUUUCCUAAUGGAGUUAUGAGAAGAGCACUGUAAUUAGGAGAGGGUCUCCUGGACUCCUGAGAGCUCCUUCUGUCCCCUCAGGUGGCUUUACUGCCACCUUCAUCUUCUGGGCUUUUCUAUUUUGCCUUUUCUAGAAGCUCUCCCUCUUGAUCUUAAGUUUAUAGGACAUGGUGGGUGGGAGGCAGAUCCUGACAAGCCCAAUACACGUGAAAUCUCCAGGCUGAGGACGGCAGUGAGCAGUCACGCUCUUCCAGCCACAUUACAUCUUUUCUCACUGGUCAGGUGGCUAGUGACGUAGAGCUUCAGGACCACUCCUCCUCUGGAAAUAGUGGCACAGGUAAUUGUUAGAGGAAACCAUACACUCUGAAUCGGGGUGGGGGGGUGUCUCCUGGCUUCUUUUCUCCA